RNAcentral lists this ribosomal RNA (254 nucleotides) under uncultured bacterium. Its description in RNAcentral is "partial 16S ribosomal RNA". It matches the Rfam family "Bacterial small subunit ribosomal RNA", at positions 524 to 776 of the family's 1533-position model. The record is from RNAcentral.
UACGUAGGAGACGAGCGUUGUCCGGAAUCACUGGGCGUAAAGCGCGUGUAGGCGGAUCGGCAAGUCUGCUGUGAAAGCUCCUGGCUUAACCGGGAGUGGUCGGUGGAAACUGCCAGUCUGGAGGACGGUAGAGGUAGGUAGAAUUCCCGGUGUAGUGGUGAAAUGCGUAGAGAUCGGGAGGAACACCUGUGGCGAAGGCGGGUCUCUGGGCCGAUACUGACGCUGAGGAGCGAAAGCGUGGGGAGCGAAACAGG